This 505-nucleotide long non-coding RNA is filed under the name Brassica napus (rape). RNAcentral describes it as "long non-coding RNA (BNAP_LNC006586)". The record is from RNAcentral. Lineage: Eukaryota; Viridiplantae; Streptophyta; Magnoliopsida; Brassicales; Brassicaceae.
AAUUACUAAAAGUAGAUAACAUAAUCCAAUAAAUAAUUUCUGAGUCCCAAUUUAACAGCCAGUACCUAACCGCAUUUGGUUUGAUAGGAUCCGCCUCGGUACCAUCUCCAAAACCAAUACCAGAACCAUAUACCACCUUGCCAAAUCUUUGAAACAAAACCAAAUUACACCCCCAUGCACAUGUCGAUCAUUCAUUGCCGCACCGUUCCUUCUCUGUGUUUGGUAUGAUGAGACCAAACACAGUAAUUGUACCUUUGAUAAAUAUAGAGCCAAAUCUUUCCGUUGAUUGCCAUAUACAAAACUCAACCUCAAAAGACAAAAAUACAUAAUAUCACUCCUUUGAGAUAAGUCCAUCCUCAAGUAAUAUCUAAACAAUCUAUUAUAUACUCGCUGCAUUAGUGCCUUAUCCCUAUUUCCUGCACCAAUAACCAAUAAACCAUAGCAACACCACCAAUCUAAAACAAGCGUUUUAUUCCAUCGAAAGAUCAGAUAAAUAAGCCACUUC